Molecule: ribosomal RNA, 408 nt
Filed under: uncultured bacterium
Lineage: Bacteria
Description: partial 16S ribosomal RNA
Rfam family: Bacterial small subunit ribosomal RNA
Source: RNAcentral
GACGAACGCUGGCGGCGUGCUUAACACAUGCAAGUCGAACGAAGUGGCGAACGGGUGAGUAACGCGUAAUCAACCUGCCCUUCAGAGGGGGACAACAGUUGGAAACGACUGCUAAUACCGCAUACUGAAGGAGGGGCUUGCGUCUGAUUGGGUAGUUGGUGGGGUAACGGCCCACCAAGGCGAUGAUCAGUAGCCGGGCUGAGAGGGUGAACGUCCACACUGUGUCUGGGACACGGCCCAGACUGCUACGGGAGUGAGCAGUGGGGAAUCUUCCGCAAUGGGCGAAAGGCUGACGGAGCAACGCCGGUUGAGUGAUGACGGCCUUCGGGUUGUAAAACUCUGUUAAUCGGGGCGCGGUACCGGAAUAGAAAGCCACGGCUAACUACGUGCCAGCAGCCGCGGUAAUUC